This 896-nucleotide non-coding RNA is filed under the name Sinolapotamon patellifer. Lineage: Eukaryota; Metazoa; Arthropoda; Malacostraca; Decapoda; Potamidae. The record is from RNAcentral.
UUAAUGUUUGAUUCUGGCUUAAAAUCUUUGUUUUAUUAUUAAAGUCGUAUGAAAAUUAUUUAUAAUAGGAGAGUAUGUAUUAAUUUUUAUAUUAAUAUUUUAAAUUAAUGUAAGUAAAAUUAUAAUCGUUUAUUUUCUCAGCGUGAAAUUUUAGUUAAUAUAUGAAAUUAUGAACUAGUAAAUAAUAUAAUAUAAAUCUGAUAAAAUAUUGUGCCAGCAUUCGCGGUUAGACUUUAAGGUUAAAUAAAGAAGUAAUGAUUUAAGUUACUCAUGAGAAUAUAAAUAUUCAAAUUUCAAAUAUUAAUAGGUGAAAUUAUUGUUAUUUUGUAAAUAUUAAAUUUAUAUUUUAAGGAAGCUAAUAAACUUUAAAGAUAAACUAGGAUUAGAUACCCUAUUAUAUUAAAGUUAAAUUUGAAAUAAAUAUUAAAUUAUUAGUAGAUAUUUCUUGAAACUUAAAGAAUUUGGCGGUAAUUUAGUCUUGUCAGAGGAACCUGUUUAAAAUUAAUCGAUAUACCUCGCAGUAUCUUACUUGUUUUUAGUUUGUAUACCAUCAUUAUUAGAUAAUUUUUAAAAAAUUAAUUAUUAAAAUUGAAUUGUUAAGAAAAUUAGAUCAAGGUGCAGCUCAUAAAUAAGUUUAAAUGGGUUACAAUAAAUUUUAUUUAAAUGGAGUAGAUUAGUAAGUUGAAUUUAGGAAGGAGGAUUUGAUAGUAAUAUAAGUUUAAUAAGCUUAUAAGAUAAAGGCUCUAAAUUAUGUACAUAUCGCCCGUCGCUUUCAUUAAUUAAUGAAAUAAGUCGUAACAUAGUAGAUGUACUGGAAGGUGUAUCUAGAAUUAUUAAUAUAAAUUAGCAGUAAUAUUUCAUUUAUUGGAAAAAAUUUUAUAAUAAUAUUAUAUAUG